GACGAACGCUGGCGGCGUGCUUAACACAUGCAAGUCGAACGGAAAGGCCCUGCUUGCGUGGUACUCGAGUGGCGAACAGGUGUGUAUAACAUGGGUGAACUCCCCUGCACUUCGUGAUAAACCUUGGGAACUGUGUCUAUUACAGGAUAUAGGCCCUUUUGAGUGAGGUUGUUGGUUGGAUUUUUCGGUGUAGGAUGGGCUCACGGCCUAUCAGCUUGUUGGUGGGGUAGUGGCUUACCAAGGCGGCGACGGGUAGCCGGCCUGAGAGGGUGGACGGCCACAUUGGGACUGAGAUACGGCCCAGACUCCUACGGGAGGCAGCAGUGGGGAAUAUUGCACAAUGGGCGGAAGCCUGAUGCAGCAACGCCGCGUGGGGGAUGACGGCCUUCGGGUUGUAAACUGCUUUCGCUUGUGACGAAGCGUGUGUGACGGUAACGAGAAAAGAAGCACCGGCUAACUACGUG
RNAcentral lists this ribosomal RNA (464 nucleotides) under uncultured bacterium. RNAcentral's name for it is "partial 16S ribosomal RNA". It matches the Rfam family "Bacterial small subunit ribosomal RNA", at positions 28 to 507 of the family's 1533-position model. The record is from RNAcentral.